Leptinotarsa decemlineata (Colorado potato beetle) is the source of this 772-nucleotide long non-coding RNA. The record is from RefSeq and is a predicted model, not a curated record. NCBI's taxonomy places the organism in Eukaryota, Metazoa, Arthropoda, Insecta, Coleoptera, Chrysomelidae.
UGGCAACAGCAGUGCGCCUGUGAAAUUCCGUACGGAAACGUCGUUCCAUUGCUGCAUUAUAGCAAAAAAUGAAUCCGAAAACAAGUCAAAGGCAAAAGUGGAGCGAAAAUGAUGUGACAUCAGCUACAGAUUCCGUGAUGAAAAAAGACAUGGGAUACACGCCGACAGCAAAAACCUUUGGAGUACCUCAAAUUACACUGAGUAGGAGAUUUUCUUAAAAUCAAGGUGGCAAAAAAGGAUAACUGGGAGGAUUCAAACCUACGUUCAAUACUGGGGUUGAGUCUGAAAUUUGAGCACACAUUGUUUUUUUGAUUAACAAUCCUAGUUGUGAUGCAAUGUUCGGAAGAACAAAUCCAGUCUAAUCUUCUUCUUGAAGAUGAUCAUUUGGUGACCGAAACACGCGUCGAGGUGUUGGAAAUUGUUUUAUAAUUUCAUGGAGUUGCAACACUUUUAUUUUAUUGGUAUUUCAUUAUCACUCACAAAAUGUUAAUUGAUUAUAUUGGACGAGCCGUGAAUAUAAUACAGUUGUAGGCAAUAAAAGUGUUUUAUAAAUUUUUCAUAGAAACGUUUACAAAAUAAAAUUAUAAAUACAUUUUGAAUUAGUCACGAAAUUAUCACAGGAACGUUUCAACAACUAACUUAUAAAACAUAGUUUCCUAUAAAAGCAAAUUGUUUUGUAGAAGUUUCACAGCACUUUUCUGUGAAGUUUGAUUAUUUUAUAACUGCUUCCUGUAGCUUUAAUAAAAGUAUUUCAUUAGAAUGAUUUCAAAUA